RNAcentral lists this unclassified non-coding RNA (326 nucleotides) under soil metagenome. RNAcentral describes it as "partial contains 5.8S ribosomal RNA, internal transcribed spacer 2, and large subunit ribosomal RNA". The stretch from base 1 to 120 matches the Rfam family "5.8S ribosomal RNA", at positions 35 to 154 of the family's 154-position model. The record is from RNAcentral.
GAUGAAGAACGUAGCGAAAUGCGAUAAGUAAUGUGAAUUGCAGAAUUCAGUGAAUCAUCGAAUCUUUGAACGCACAUUGUGCCCCUUGGUAUUCCGAGGGGCAUGCCUGUUCGAGCGUCAUAUUAACCACUCCCGCUUGCGGGGUCUUGGGCUUCGCCUCCGGGCGGGCCUUAAAAUCAGUGGCGGUGCCGUCGGGCUCUACGCGUAGUAAAUUUUCUCGCGAUAGGGUCCCGGUGGAUGCUUGCCAACAACCCCCAACUUCUUAAGGUUGACCUCGGAUCAGGUAGGGAUACCCGCUGAACUUAAGCAUAUCAAUAAGCGGAGGA